Molecule: long non-coding RNA, 1349 nt
Organism: Salvia splendens (bonfire salvia)
Lineage: Eukaryota; Viridiplantae; Streptophyta; Magnoliopsida; Lamiales; Lamiaceae
Exons: 3
Source: RefSeq, a predicted model, not a curated record
UAGAACUUACGGGAAAAAAAUCGUUCCAUCUCUCCAUCUAUUCCCCUCUUUCUCUCUUCGUCUUCAAGGUAAAUCCCCAAUUACAGGCAAACAACCCUAGCUCUCUCAUUCUCGGCGUUAGUUCGAAAAUUGCCCGUCGCCGUCUCCCGAUUCUGUGAUUCAGCGUCGUCGCCCUCUCUCUUCUCUCUCGAAUCUGUCGCCGCCCCUCCGCCAAAUUUCCGCUCUCGGCGAGCAUCACUGCCGUCGCUCCUUUCCUCACGACGGAGAGUCAUCGCCAGUUGCUCCCCGGUGUUCAGCAGCGCCGCGCGACUGUCGCGGUUCAGCCCGUCGCUUCUGGACUCCCGAAUUCAAGCGCAGGGUUGAUAAUAUGCUCCGAUCCGUCGUCGUUUGGAGCUCAGGUUCCCUCACUCAGAUCCGCGUCAGGCAUUGCUCCGAUCGAUCUCUCGCCCCUGUUGCCCAAAGGGAAUCAGAAAGAUCUGUUUUGAGCUAUUGGAUUUGAAAGAUGCAGUUGAGAACUUGUGCAGCAAUACUCGAACAAAGUAUUUGGCCUUUUUAAGGUUAUCCGAUGAAGUGGUUGAAAUGAAGCACGAGUUAAAUGAGCUCCAAAAGCAUAUCUCUUCCCAUGGGAUUCUUAUCCAGGAUUUAAUGAGUGGCGUGUCUCGUGAAUUGGAAGAAUGGAGUGGAGCUGGUGGAGAUGUCUCAGAGGCUGAGGACCCUCUAACUAAUGAAACUAAUGGAAUAUUCUCAACUGAAGUGGAAGAUCGACGAAUGCUGUUUUUGGAGCAUGUGGAUGUUCUACUGGCAGAGCAAUAGAUGCAAUUGAUACAGAAGAGCGAACUUACCCCGAGCUGAAAGGGACGGGGUAUAGUACAACUGAUGAAAGCUCCUCUUUCAAGUCUGCGCUCUCGAAGAGAAAAGCCAUGCUUGAAAACCAGCUCAUUGAGAUUAGCCGACAGCCCUCAGUUGGUAUUCUAGAACUGAGGAAGGUGUUGUCCAGUUUAUUGAAGCUUGGGAAGGGCCCCUUCUGUAAUUUGCUAUGUCCACAGGCAUUAUUCGGGAAGCUGCAGCAACUGGCCGCGGUGGCAGGAGAGAUGUUCUGUUAGGAAAAGAGAAGAUACAGAAGGUUCUAUUGGCUAUGUUGACAGAAACCAUGGUGAUGUGGUUGUCGAAUGAGGAGGAAUUCUGGGGAGUUCUGGAGAACGAGUCAGCUCCUCUUCGCCCAGUUACCAACACUUUUAAUAUUGUUUAGUUUGUGUGCUCAAACACGUUACAUUUUUGUGUAAAAUCAUUUGAUGGUUUGAAUAUUAUUCAAAUAGUUGUCAUUUUAUUUGAGUGAGUAGUUUAUUAAA